RNA transcript from Oryzias melastigma (Indian medaka), 4232 nucleotides. It is a transcript of the gene named prominin 1 b, with no coding region annotated. NCBI's taxonomy places the organism in Eukaryota, Metazoa, Chordata, Actinopteri, Beloniformes, Adrianichthyidae. The record is from RefSeq and is a predicted model, not a curated record. The transcript has 29 exons.
AGUGACCUGCAACAAAAGUGUAAUUCUCGUGGGGUUUCCCCCGUGUCUCCACAAACAUGUGUGUGUCUGUGUCCAUCGAGGCAGAAAUCACCUGUGACGGUAGAGCCGAGGAGGAGGCGGAGGGCAGGUCUGUGGUCCGAGUCGUCGCACGCGCCGUUGAGCGCGAGCGCGAGCGCGAGCGCGCGAGAUUAAGUCGCUCUUCUUAACCCGCGCGGAGGUGAGCGCGAGGACAGCGGCAGAGCGAGCUCAUCCUCCGGGAGUGAUGAGUCCGGUCCCUGGGAGCUAGCGGCAGACGCGUUUGAUGUUUCUCCUUGAAGUUGGGCUCCGGGCUGUUGUGCUGCGGGGAUAAAGGAGCGAGAGGGAGAGGUGUUAGCCGCCCUCCUCAUUCCCCCCUCCCCGUACCUCCGACCGGCGCGUCGCCUUCUCUUGUCUUUUCGUGAGCUGCAGAUUCGGACAUUCGCCGAGCCAUGUUGUGGAUAAGGUGGCUCGUUCUGCUGCUCUGCUGGGGGGCUGCCAGCGGCGAGGAGCGGGCGGCGGAGGAGGAGGACGAAGCCCGGACUGAGGUGCUGUCGGACUCCCCCAGAAGGCGCUCCCCUCCGCCGGUGGAGCCGCUGGACUUUGGGUUUGUCCCAUCGGCGAUAUAUGAUACCCAUGCUUACUACGAGCCAGGGAGCAUAAGCAUCCUUUUCCACAUGGUCCACGCGUUUCUUUAUGUCGUUCAACCCAAUCCUUUCCCCAAAGAUCUUAUUGUCAGAGUCAUUCAGCAAAACAUGGGAGGAAUUAAACUGGAAGAGUGGAGAAAGCCAGAAAACGUUGUGCUAUUGCUACAGUGGAUCCACUAUGAAGCUGGAUUCCUAAUAUGUACGAUCAUUGGCAUCGUGUUUGUGGUCCUGACUCCCGUCAUAGCCACGUGUUUCUGCAUGUGUCGAUGCUGCGAUAACUGUGGAGGCGAGAUGCAUCAGAGGCAGAGGAAAAAUGCAGACUGCCACCGAGGUUUCUUCACCGCCUCACUCAUCGCCACCACCAUCUUCAUCAUUCUGGGGGUGUUUGUCGCAUAUGCUGCCAAUCACAACAUCAGCUCUCAAAUCAGAAACACUCGGCGACUCAUCAACACCAACAUGAGAGAUUUGAAGACCUUUGCCAACAACACUCCUGCGCAAAUCGAAUACCUGACAGGCCAGUACACCACGGCAAAGAACAAAGUCAUGUCAGACCUUGACAACAUUGGACCUUUACUUGGGAGUAGGAUCCACGUUCAUCUGGAAAAAGAAGUGGUUCCUGCUCUGGACAGUGCUCUGCGCAUGGCGGGAGCAAAAAUUGAGAAUUCCAUCAAAGCCAUGCGGGAGACUAAAGAAGCCUUGGAGAACGUCAGCUCCUCAUUGGAAAUUCUUCAGGAAGGAAUAGGAAAACUUCAGGCGAGUCUAUCUGAGGAGCGCGCUUCUCUGUCCAACACUCUGUCUGACCCCGCAUGCACCAACGGAGCCGUGUCACCCACCUGUAACACCAUCCGUUCCACUCUGCCUCAGCUUGGAAUCAAUGCCGACUACUCCAAGCUUCCUAAUGUUGGUCACGCUUUAGCCAAUGUCAAUACUGUUUUGAGAAUAGACCUCAGCAACAUCGUUCAAAGGGGUUAUGCAUCUUUCAAUGACACUCCAAAGCUGGUCAAAGAACAAACCAGAAACAUCGUUACUGCUUUACCUCGAGUGAAAGGCAUGCUGGAUAAGAUUGGUGCAGAGAUCACUGCCUUCUCCAAGAUGUUCCCAGUGGAAGCCUCACUUUCCAAUUUCACUAACUUCCUCAAUGAAAGACACCGGAGCAUUGAGGCAUUUUACCCACAGAUUGACCAAAUGGAUUUUUACAGGUGGAUUGCUUGUGUAGCAGUGCUCUGCACUAUUGUUUUGAUCCUGGCCUUCAACAUCCUCGGCCUGCUCUGUGGCUCCUGCGGCUACGACAAGCAGGCCACCCCAACAACCCGCGGCUGCAUGUCAAACACUGGAGGGAAUCUGCUGAUGGCUGGAGUGGGCUUCUCCUUCAUCUUUUCCUGGGCACUGAUGGCUGUUGUUACAACCCUGUUUGCUGUUAGUGGAAACAUGGAGAAGCUCAUAUGUGAACCUCUGGCUAACAGGCAGCUUUUCAAGAUCAUAGACACACCAUUCCUGGUCCAUCCUGAAAAGAAGAACUUUCUUCCUGGGAUGCUCUUCCAAAAUCCAAAUAUUGACUUGACUUUGGGUAGUGUCUACAGGGAGUGCUAUGACAACAACGGCCUGUACCACGCUCUGCAGCUGGAAACCAUGUUCAACAUCAACUCCUUCCUCAAUAGAACUGUGUACAACAAGGAUCUGGCCAAACUGUUUGAAAGUGUGAAAGUGGACCUGAAAGACAUCACCCUGCUGGAGCAGGCAGGCAGAGACAACCUGAUGAACUUUGCCAACUCUGGAAUAGGACAGAUCGACUAUGCAGCUUUCCUUUCUGAGGUAAAUAAAGGAGUUACUCUUGUGGAUCUGUUGUCUUUCUGCGCUGAUCUGGAGGAUCAGGCUGACCAGUUGCCACGUGGCGCUCUGGAGAAUGCCCUGAAAGGUCACGCCAGCAGCAUCAGAACCAUUCACAGAGAACAGGUGGUGGCUUUGGAGCAAGCCAUGAAAUAUGUCAGAGCGCGGAGCACCCUGAGCCAGAGUAUCAAGCUGCUGCAGAAGACCUCAGAUGACCUACCAGUGAAAGUGACAAACAUCCUGAGCGCCAUUGAUGCAGCAGAGUAUCUCAUCGUUCAUAACGCUUCCUUUGUGGUUAAGCAGGAAACGAAAAACUUCAUGCAAGGCUUAGAGGGAUAUUUCAAACAGUACACAGGAUGGGUUAAAAGCUCUCUAACAUCAGAGGUGGCUCAGUGCAAGCCCAUCAGCAACAUGGUGGACAGUAUGGAGAUAGUUGGCUGCAGCUUCAUCGUGGACUCAGUGAACACCUUCUGGUUUGGUCUGGGAGGCUGCUGCAUCCUUCUCAUCCCCAGCAUCAUCUUCUCCAUUAAACUGGCCAAGUACUACAGAAGAAUGGACACUGAAGACGUGUUUGAAGAUUUGGAUAAUACAGGUAACCGUGGCCACGGGAACGCCGCUGGGGUCAGGUACGAGCCGUGUCCAUCUAAACCCAUUCACUUGCAUUCUGAGUUGUCCGUUCCCAGCGGGAAUUUUUUGCCUUCAAACAGACCGAAGGUUAAAGUUUCAUAUUUUUCCACAAAUUCCAAAGACUUGCCCCUGUGUGUGUACGUUUAGUUCUCCUUAUGACACUCUGACUUGGUUCUCUCGGGCCUCUGCACCUCCAAGCGAAUGGUAACUCACAGGAUCCGUCUGCCUUACAGAGUGGUCAGGAGAACUGGAACUGAUGGGAUCUCUCAGAAUCUGGACUUUUGUUGGAGGUUUUGUUCAUCAAGAACAGUAAGAUUCAGGAUCAGUGGUGAGGGCAUCUCUCCCCUCCAACACUUCCUGCAAGACCUCUGAUUUUUACCAGCUGCCAAGCUUUGAUGUUUUCUCUCAAUCACACCCCUUCCUGUAACGUUUCAUGCUGCACACAACCAAUUAACAAAGAUUGCUUCUGCAUAUUCAGAAAUGCACAUAGCGGAUGGAUUUCUAUGUACAUCAUUCCACAUCAAACAUUUUUUACACUUUCAAAACUUUUGAAAGUUUUAUAUAUUUUUACUAAUCAUUGUUUUAUAACAUGUCACUAGUGUUUUUUUUUUUAGAAAUAGUUUUUUUGGUGAAUAUUUGUAACAUAGUUCUCAUUAUUUUUGAUUUAUCAAAAGCACUUAUCAGGUAGAUGUUUAGAGGAUGGUUUAACAUUUUGGGGGGAAAAAAGACUCCCUUUCCGGUCAGAUGAUUAUAUUUUUAAAAAAGUAUGUUGUACGAACCAAAUACGUGGUGUAAAAUGAAUUCAAUGUAGUUUUUUUUUUAAAGAAAGGUGUCGUCCAAAAUGUUGAACCGUUCCUUUAAACACUAACGAGUUAACUGGCAGCUCGGUUUUGCUCUGUAAUCUUUAGUAGGAGCCCAAGAGUUUGUCCUGGUCUUUGUUUCUUCAAAGUGUCGCAUUUCAGUCAGCACAAACGUUUUUCUCUGCAGUUUUUGAGAUGGCUAACAAACUGACUGUUAGCAAGAGUGUUGUAGAUUUGAGGACAGACGUUUGAUGGACACCAAGAGCCUUGGAGCUUGUGGAGAGGGUGCAGAUCUGUAAUAAAAACUUCCGUCUGA